AAAAAAAUGCAAUGUUUGAAAAGAGCGCAAUAGUUUGAUAGAUGAUUUAAACUGUGUGACUUGAAUAGAAAUGAUAAAACGGCUUGCUAGGUGGGGGGCAAAGAGCACAAAGGGGAGAGGUAUUCUAAACCAUCAAUCUUAGCGCCGCAGAGUAACGAAUUAUUUGGGUCUGAAUAUAUUAAUUUGGCAACAGACUCUCUCAGAAAUAAACCCAAAUCGCUAACUAGUAAAGUUACGAAAUAAAACUAUCAGGGCCAAAAAGGAAACUUAACACCGUGACUUGGACAUGACUUUGGAAUGGCUGUUGGAACGCCCGUAAAGCCCUAAAACAUGCAGAAUUCCAGUAGCCUUUAUGUAGCUGCCUGGACAAUUGAGAGACAUUAAUGUGUAGCUACGCCACAGUCUCACCAUCCCUCCAAUCUCUUUCUAGAUCCUGUCGCCUCCAUGUAGCGAGACUGAAAAGGUACUUUAUUGAAGUUUGGGAUCAACCGCGAGAAGGCCGAGUUCAGUCGGAGGGCACAUUUUCUGUCCCAUUAGGUCCGUUUCAGCCGGGAUGGCCGACCUUUGCAACCCCCCGUGACCUGACUGGGUCUCUAUACUUGUACCUUCUGUGUGUGCCCUCGUAGGUCGUCCCCGGUCCUUGCGUGGCCUCGUCAGGGCUCUGGACUUUCUUUGUGUGUUUUUCUACUUGAGGGGCCGGUAGAAGGGCACCUCUGAAUGUGUUGCUCUUUUGUUGCUCUCAGUGGUGACCCGAGAGUGCGGUGAACUGUCGGUCACUUCUCUUCCAUUGUGCGCCCUGUAGGACCUAGACCCUUUGUAGGACAUCCUACAAAUUUGAGGGACUUCCAAGCGGUUACUUCGGAGCUUAUGAUCGGUCUGCAUGUUAAGAAGAAAUAAACGCGUAUUGCUAUGCUGCCUGAAGAAUCGGAGCGGGUUCCUCGGGCGUCAUUAAGUUCCUUUCAGACUAUUGGAGGAUACCUGUGAUUCAGUGUGCUGUCAUAACGAGGCUGGUGGUCUCCUAAGUAGAGGAAGAGAUGGAAAAAGAUACAGAGACGGAGGGAGAGACGGAGGGAGAGACGGAGGGAGGCGAGAGCAAGAGCGUUCACCAGCACCCAGCUAGUGUUACUAGAGAAGGAGUUCCACUUCAGGCCCUACCUGUGUCCACCCCGCAGGCUGGAGAUGGCUGCAGGCCUGAGGCUCACCGAUCGGCAGAUCAAGAUCUGAUUCCAGAACCGACGCAUGAAACACGAGAAGGACCAUAAGGAGGACAGUGUCAUAGAGACUGAGACGCCAAAACAUCCUUCUCUACCACCACACACGUUGUCCUCCCUCAGUCCAAGGUUCUCUAUUGGUGUUGGGUACUCAGUUCUUGUCUGGUGAGAGCGCCUAGAUCUCCAACCCUCCUCUUCAUAGAUUAAGAUCGUGCCCCUGCUCUGGUUGAUUUUAACAGUAGAAAUGACAGUGAAUGUUUUUGUGUUUCCUCCAUGGAUCUUCCCCCAUCUCACCACCAUACCUGCACCUGUCUCUUACUGUUGGAGACAGCAGUUGUUUGACCACAGGUCUCUCAGAACCUUCCCCAUGGCACAAUGAUGCACACCUAUUUUAUGACAUCAGUGCACGCUUCAAACGUCACGGCUUCCCCCUAGAACCUCCUACUCACCCUUGAGAGUAGGGCACAACCCUAACACCUACAGUGAGGGAAAAAAGUAUUUGAUCCCCUGCUGAUUUUGUAUGUUUUCCCACUGACAAAGAAAUGAUCAGUCUAUAAUUGUAAUGGUAUGUAUAUUUGAACAGUGAGAGACAGAAUAACAACAACAAAAAUCCAGAAAAACACGUCAAAAAAGUUUUAAAUUGAUUUGUAUUUUAAUGAGGGAAAUAAGUAUUUGACUCCUCUGCAAAACAUGACUUAGUACUUGGUGGCAAAACCCUUGUUGGCAAUCACAGAGGUCAGACGUUUCUUGUAGUUGGCCACCAGGUUUGCACACAUCUCAGGAGGGAUUUUGUCCCACUCCUCUUUGCAGAUCUUCUUCAAGUCCUUAAGGUUUCGAGGCUGACGUUUGGCAACUCGAACCUUCAGCUCCCUCCACAGAUUUUCUAUGGGAUUAAGUUCUGGAGACUGGCUAGGCCACUCCAGGACCUUAUUGUGCUUCUUCUUGAGCCACUCCUUUGCUGCCUUGGCCGUGUGUUUUGGGUCAUUGUCAUGCUGGAAUACCCAUCCACGACCCAUUUUCAAUGCCCUGGCUGAGGGAAGGAGGUUCUCACCCAAGAAUUGACGGUACAUGGCCCCGUCCAUCGUCCUUUUGAUGCGGUGAAGUUGUCCUGUCCCCUUAGCAGAAAAACACCCCCAAAGCAUAAUGUUUCCACCUCCAUGUUUGACGGUGGGGAUGGUGUUCUUGGGGUCAUAGGCAGCAUUCCUCCUCCUCCAAACACGGCGAGUUGAGUUGAUGCCAAAGAGUUCCAUUUUGGUUUCAUUUGACCACAACACUUUCACCCAGUUGUCUUCUGAAUCAUUCAGAUGUUCAUUGGCAAACUUCAGACGGGCAUGUAUAUGUGCUUUCUUGAGCAGGGGGACCUUGCGGGCGCUGCAGGAUUUCAGUCCUUCACAGGACUACCAAUUGUUUUCUUGGUGACUAUGGACUCAGCUGCCUCGAGAUCAUUGACAAGAUCCUCCCGUGUAGUUCUGGGCUGAUUCCUCACCGUUCUCAUGAUCAUUGCAACUCCACGAGGUGAGAUCUUGCAUGGAGCGCCAGGCCGAGGGAGAUGGACAGUUCUUUUGUGUUUCCUCCAAUUGCUAAUAAUUGCACCAACUGUUGUCACCUUCUCACCAAGCUGAUUGGCGAUGGUCUUGUAGCCCAUUCCAGCCUUGUGUAGGUCUACAAUCUUGUCCCUGACAUCCUUGGAGAGCUCUUUGGUCUUGGCCAUGGUGGAGAGUUUGGAAUCUGAUUGAUUGAUUGCUUCUGUGGACAGGUGUCUUUUAUACAGGUAACAAGCUGAGAUUAGGAGCACUCCCUCAGUUCAUUACCUGUAUAAAAGACACCUGGGAGCCAGAAAUCUUUCUGAUUGAGAGGGGGUCAAAUACUUAUUUCCCUCAUUAAAAUGCAAAUCAAUUUAUAACAUUUUUGACAUGCGUUUUUAUUUAAUGUAUUUAUUUUAUCCUGUCUCUCACUGUUCAAAUAAACCUACCAUUAAAAUUAUAGACUGAUUACUUCUUUGUCAGUGGGAAAACGUACAAAAUCAGCAGGAGAUCAAUUACUUUUUUCCCUCACUGUAGAUCGUGAGUCGAAGGGCUCAAUUCAAUCAAACCAGCCCUGCAGACGUUACCUUUCAUUCAACAUUUUGAUAGCGGCUUCCUGAACAAGGAAUAAUUAUUACCUGUAGGUUAUCCUGAGUAUCACUAGGACUAGGUUUCUAUUCCAAAGCAACCACCACUGCCCCCUCUGUUGCUAUUCUAUUAUACCUUGUGGCAGAUGUAAGGCAUGAUGUACUGUACAUAGCCUACCAGUAAUCUUUUGGCAUAAUUGACCUGAUUUAGCUUAUAGCAAUAAACUCCUCAAAUACCUUCUACUGGUAUUACUGUACUGUUUUGCAUGAUGAAUGCAUGUUUUGAAUACAUUAUUAAUCUGUGUCAGAUAAUGUAUCAGAUAAUUGACUUGUGGUUGUCAUCUCUGUAAAUCGUAGAGAAAAUAAUUUUACUUUGCUAUAGUUGUUAGAUGUUAUGUUCUGAUCGUGUAAGUAACAUAAUUUACUAGCCAUCAAUUUAGUAUUUUCAAGACCUCCUCCUGUGUCAAAUACAUGUGGCUGUUGUAUCCGUAGAUCAGAGGGAGAGACUUGACUUUGGCUGUAGGUGUCAUGUGUUAAGUCUUGUUUCAUGUGUUCUUAUCAUGUUCAUAGCUGCUCAUAUGUGUAAGUUGUUUACAUGUGUAAGUUGUUAAGGCUAAGUGUGAAAACAGAAGCAAGCAUAUGUUCAUACUGAACAAAGUUCUAUUUUGUUAUGUAUGUAUUAUGUAAACUAAAAUCAGUUUUUGAUACUGUUCUUGAUUAUUUGAGAUGUUUAAUAAAUGCAUUUGUGUAAAAUCAA
Long non-coding RNA from Oncorhynchus tshawytscha (Chinook salmon), 4078 nucleotides. The record is from Ensembl. NCBI's taxonomy places the organism in Eukaryota, Metazoa, Chordata, Actinopteri, Salmoniformes, Salmonidae.